CCUACGGGUGGCAGCAGUCGAGAAUUAUUCACAAUGGGGGAAACCCUGAUGGUGCGACGCCGCGUGGGGGAAUGAAGGUCUUCGGAUUGUAAACCCCUGUCAUGUGGGAGAAAAGGAAAAAGAUAGUAACACAAGAGGAAGAGACGGCUAACUGAGUGCCAGCAGCCGCGGUAAGACAGAGGUCUCAAGCGAUGUUCGGAAUCACUGGGCGUAAAGGGGGCGUAGGCGGUUUCGUAAGUCGUGUGUGAAAGGCGCGGGCUUAACCCGCGGACGGCACAUGAUACUGCGAGACUAGAGUAAUGCAGGGGGAACCGGAAUUCUCGGUGUAGCAGUGAAAUGCGUAGAUAUCGAGAGGAACACUCGUGGCGAAGGCGGGUUCCUGGACAUUAACUGACGCUGAGGCACGAAGGCCAGGGGAGCGAAAGGGAUUAGAUACCCCGGUAGUC
RNAcentral lists this ribosomal RNA (446 nucleotides) under uncultured bacterium. RNAcentral's name for it is "partial 16S ribosomal RNA". It matches the Rfam family "Bacterial small subunit ribosomal RNA", at positions 338 to 795 of the family's 1533-position model. The record is from RNAcentral.